AAACGUAGGAGGCAAGCGUUAUCCGAAUUUACUGGGCGUAAAGCGCGUGCAGGCGGUUCGGUAAGUUGGAUGUGAAAUCUCCUGGCUCAACUGGGAGAGGACGUUCAAUACUGUCGGACUCGAGGACGGUAGAGGGAGGUGGAAUUCCCGGUGUAGUGGUGAAAUGCGUAGAUAUAUGGAGGAACACCAGUGGCGAAGGCGACUCUCUGGUCUGUAACUGACGCUGAGGCUCGAAAGCGUGGGGAGC
This 247-nucleotide ribosomal RNA is filed under the name uncultured bacterium. RNAcentral's name for it is "partial 16S ribosomal RNA". It matches the Rfam family "Bacterial small subunit ribosomal RNA", at positions 523 to 769 of the family's 1533-position model. The record is from RNAcentral.